AAUGAUCACAUAUAUAGAAAAGGGUGGCCGGCCAUGUGCUAUUUUAGAGUGGUGUGAACCCAAUUUUAUAAAGUUUAACUUCCAUUUAAUUAAGAAGUCAAGUGGGCAAGUGGGUAGAAAAGCACUCAAGUGUUUUGUGAUAUUUUGAAGAGUUGUGUGAGCCAUUCUAACCCCCAAAUCCGACCACUCUCCCUCCCUCAUUCACUCUCAUCUGAUUUUUGAAGACUCUCUCAAGUGUUCUCUCCAUUUUCAACCCCAAGAACACCAAAGAAACUUGGAAGCUAAGUCUUGGUCUAGGAAGGGUUUUCCCUAAGGUAAAGUUUCAUUAAUCUAGACUUUUGUCAAGUUUUAAUCAUAGAGUUUCAAAUAGCUAAUUACCUAUGUGGUUGGGGGAAGUUGGUUAUGGUUUUUGAAAGGUUUUGAAGGAGUCAAAUCUUAUAGGAAGGUCCAAACCUUAAGCAAGAACACCAAAGAGUAUUGGCUAAGCGUAAUUGGACUGAACGUUGGAGGGUGAAAACCUGCUGAGCGCUAAGGACUCCAAGUAAGUGCAAGGGCAAGGCAGAGCAGUGAGCGCUGGAGUCUUCCUUGCAAAUGUACAUGUGGACCGACCUUUUGGGUAGCCGCUUUAUUUUUGGAAAUGUUGUGUAAUUUUCCUAAACUAGGCUCACUCUAAUCUUUAUAAAACAUGUUUGUAACUAAAUGUUAAGUAUGGCCAUACGACUUUUUAAAAAGUUUUUUUUUCUAUGGGUUUUUGAGACAUUUUGUUAAAUGAAAACAUUUAUAU
Humulus lupulus (European hop) is the source of this 784-nucleotide long non-coding RNA. RefSeq lists it as uncharacterized. NCBI's taxonomy places the organism in Eukaryota, Viridiplantae, Streptophyta, Magnoliopsida, Rosales, Cannabaceae. The record is from RefSeq and is a predicted model, not a curated record. The transcript has 3 exons.